UGUGACUUCGUGUAUAUAUACAUACAUUCAGCAAAACAAUUAAAGCGUUAUUGUUUUGCGGUAUUUGACACAUGAAGCAAAUUCGUCGAAUCAAGCUAAUGAUCAAACACAUUGGACUGCUGCUUACAUCAGCAAUUGCAAUACCAUUAUUAUGUUUGCUGGCUACAGCAAAUAAUUCUCCUGGCACUAUUUACAAAUUUCUAUAAAGAGAACAUUUUUAACAAACUUUAGAAAAUAACUGCUCGAAUUCACGUGAUGGAAAUUGAAGAUAUUGGUGACUUACGAGAUUUUGUGACGAUUUAUAAGAAAGAUUAUCUUGGAAAAAGAACGACAAAGCACAAAUUAUUACCAAAAUAUUUGCCAUCCUGGAACAUCUUGAAUAGACCGUACAAACAAUAUUUGUACACACGACUGGAAAAUCGAUUAUUACCUGAGAACGAACGAAGCGAAGAUCCAGUUGACAAUUUAAACAGAGUAAAAGUGCAAAUAUUUUUAUAUUCGUGAUUGCAUGCUAUCAUAAUUGUAUAUCAUUGAAAAUAGAUACGAGACAAAUUUCCCCACUUAAGAAAUGCUUUACCGGAAAUCGUGCCAGAUGAAAUCGUAAUAGAAAACAUCAAGGAAAAAUCAAGAAGAACUACAUAUCAACAGGAUUAUUUCAAGGAAUUUCGAAAGGGUUUACUUAUAAUCAUUAUAUCUGUAUACAUGUAAACGUAUAUGACACACGCAUGCAUGCACUUUACGAACAGAUAAAAGGACCAUUAAGUUGGAAACGGUAGCAGAUAAGAUGCUACAAAUAUGCAGCAAAAUAUCACAAUUAUUUUGUUUUCUCUUGAUAAAACCUACAAACAGAUUGGAAGCUUCUGAUUGAUCAGUUGGAAAAAAAGACUUUUACUGACCAAAAAUAUUUCGAAGCGUUUGUAACAUCAAGUAGACCAUAGGCCAGUAUCUUAUUGGAAAAACAAACCUAACAUCUACAUCCGUGCACAAGCCCCUUUUGUCGUCCUUUUGUAUGUGUGUAUGCGUGUGCGUGCGCGUACGCGCGUAUACAGUUGUACAUCUUAUAAACAUGAAUAUGCCUUAUGGCUGUAAUCAGGGGGUUGAUUGAAAUAAGAUGAAAAUUACAAAAAUCAUCGUCGCAGGGAAAUAACAUUGCCGCAAAAUUGGAUUAUACCCGAAACAAUUCAAAAACGUGCAUAUCGAAAUCCCUGGAUAAUCGCAACAAAAGCAUUAAUAAAACCACCAAAAAUUUUAAAAUCGCCCAAUAAUUUGGAUCCUAAUUUUAAAGAAAGAGAAAUUCUUCGAGUGACAACCGGAAAUUCCGAAUAUAUGGGCACGAUCGGGAUUGCAGGAGAAAACAUCAUGUUACGAAGCCGGCCAUCAAAUAUGAG
This is an RNA transcript of Trachymyrmex septentrionalis, 1388 nucleotides long. RefSeq lists it as uncharacterized. The record is from RefSeq and is a predicted model, not a curated record. The transcript is spliced from 3 exons. Lineage: Eukaryota; Metazoa; Arthropoda; Insecta; Hymenoptera; Formicidae.